RNAcentral lists this ribosomal RNA (763 nucleotides) under uncultured bacterium. RNAcentral's name for it is "bacterial SSU rRNA". It matches the Rfam family "Bacterial small subunit ribosomal RNA", at positions 547 to 1310 of the family's 1533-position model. The record is from RNAcentral.
GGAUUUACUGGGCGUAAAGCGUGCGUAGGCGGCUGAUUAAGUCGGAUGUGAAAUCCCUGAGCUUAACUUAGGAAUUGCAUUCGAUACUGGUCAGCUAGAGUAUGGGAGAGGAUGGUAGAAUUCCAGGUGUAGCGGUGAAAUGCGUAGAGAUCUGGAGGAAUACCGAUGGCGAAGGCAGCCAUCUGGCCUAAUACUGACGCUGAGGUACGAAAGCAUGGGGAGCAAACAGGAUUAGAUACCCUGGUAGUCCAUGCCGUAAACGAUGUCUACUAGCCGUUGGGGUCUUUGAGACUUUAGUGGCGCAGCUAACGCGAUAAGUAGACCGCCUGAGGAGUACGGUCGCAAGACUAAAACUCAAAUGAAUUGACGGGGGCCCGCACAAGCGGUGGAGCAUGUGGUUUAAUUCGAUGCAACGCGAAGAACCUUACCUGGUCUUGACAUAGUAGAAACUUUCCAGAGAUGGAUUGGUGCCUUCGGGAAUCUACAUACAGGUGCUGCAUGGCUGUCGUCAGCUCGUGUCGUGAGAUGUUGGGUUAAGUCCCGCAACGAGCGCAACCCUUUUCCUUAUUUGCCAGCACUUUGGGUGGGAACUUUAAGGAUACUGCCAGUGACAAACUGGAGGAAGGCGGGGACGACGUCAAGUCAUCAUGGCCCUUACGACCAGGGCUACACACGUGCUACAAUGGUUGGUACAAAGGGUUGCUACACAGCGAUGUGAUGCUAAUCUCAAAAAGCCAAUCGUAGUCCGGAUUGGAGUCUGCAA